CCAAAUCGAGGUUAGGGCUUUUAUUUUUUCUGCUUCCCUUCUUCUCUUGCACCGCAUUCAUCCCUAUCCAGCAAGCAACAGGGCCUCCGAUCCCAAAUCCCAAUCCUCCUCUUGCUCGGACAUGAUCCCAAUCCUCCUCUUCCUUGACCUCCUCCCGGCAGUAGCGGCAGCGGCGGCCUCCGCCUCCCCCAAUAUCCCCAACAGUGGGUUUCAAGCAUCCACGAGUCAACGGGAAGCACAGGACCGUGAGCUCCCCAGCAUGGAGGAGCAUGAGACGGAGUGUGGCGGUUCCUCUAUAAAUCCCUCCCCUCCUCCCCUCUAUCUGAAUCGCCCGAGUCGCCCUUAACCUUGAUUGGUCAUCAGGAGAAACCCCUUGGAUUUCCUCUAAUCUUCCAUUGAUUGUGCUUAUAAUUCAUCACCGAUUCUUCGUUGGAGUGAAGGUAAGAGGCGAGAGGCCCUCAUCUAUCUUCCAUCUUCUUCGGAUCUCGUUGCCUCUGUUAUUGACCAAAUUCCCAUCAGAGGGCAGAGCAUGCCUGCUCCCAGGUAUCAGCGACAAGAGCAGUCGGGCGAAGAUGCAGUCAGAGCACGGCGAGGGCGGAGAGGAAUGGAGAUGUGGAGAGGGCAAAGAUGAGGCGGUCGGGUGGAGCCGUGAGCAG
RNAcentral lists this long non-coding RNA (656 nucleotides) under Elaeis guineensis (African oil palm). RNAcentral's name for it is "long non-coding RNA (EGUI_LNC012134)". The record is from RNAcentral. Lineage: Eukaryota; Viridiplantae; Streptophyta; Magnoliopsida; Arecales; Arecaceae.